This 74-nucleotide transfer RNA is filed under the name Pseudomonas putida. RNAcentral describes it as "tRNA-Gly(ccc)". It matches the Rfam family "tRNA". Rfam says of the family: Transfer RNA (tRNA) molecules are approximately 80 nucleotides in length. RNAcentral also lists the same sequence under 20 other names. Lineage: Bacteria; Pseudomonadati; Pseudomonadota; Gammaproteobacteria; Pseudomonadales; Pseudomonadaceae. The record is from RNAcentral.
GCGGGUAUAGUUGAAUGGUACAACUAUAGCUUCCCAAGCUAUCGGUGAGGGUUCGAUUCCCUCUACCCGCUCCA